Leptonychotes weddellii (Weddell seal) is the source of this 342-nucleotide non-coding RNA. Lineage: Eukaryota; Metazoa; Chordata; Mammalia; Carnivora; Phocidae. The record is from RefSeq and is a predicted model, not a curated record.
CCAUCUUGAAAGAGGGCAAAGACACUCCUGGCGCUCCCCGCCUCUCGGCUUCCUUCAAAUGCCAGCGCCAUCUUGGAUCACGGAGUAUAAUCACUUCCUUGAGUAGAGGAUGUUUCCGACACAUCUUAGCAUCUUGUGCCAGAAGAAUAGGGGCUUACCGUCAGGAUCAGAUGAGGAAACUGAAGCACAAGGGACACAGCUCCAGUAAGAGGUACAGCUGAAACUGAUUCGCCUUGACUGAUGAAGCAGGUUCGCUAAAUCCUACCCUCGGAUCCGGCAGCAUUUGUCUUCAAUGAACAGGUUGGGUGCUUCCUGGACAGAGAUCUGGGAUUCAUGGACCUU